CCAGCACAACGCCCCCUUCCGUCUUCCCUCUGGCUUCCGGCUGUGUGGACACAUCUGGCUCCAUGAAUACCCUGGGCUGCCUGGUCAAGGGCUACUUCCCCGAGCCAGUGACAGUGACAUGGAACUCAGGGGCCCUGACCAGCGGAGUGCACACCUUCCCGGCUGUCCUUCGGUCAGGCCUGUACUCCCUCACCAGCAUGGUAACUGUGCCCUCCAGCCAGAAGAAGGCCACCUGCCAUGUAGUCCACCCGGCCAGCAGCACCACGGUGGACAAGGAUGUUGAGGUCCAGCCUGGCUCCCACUGCAAGCCCUGUCCCAAGUGCCCAGCUCCUGAGCUCCUGGGAGGACCAUCUGUCUUCAUCUUCCCCCCAAAGCCCAAGGACAUACUUAUGAUCUCCCUGACCCCCAAGGUCACAUGUGUUGUGGUAGAUGUGAGCCAGGAAGACCCCGAGGUUGAGUUCACCUGGUAUGUGGAUGACAAACAGAUGAACACAGCUGAGGCAAAGCUCCAGGAGGAGCAGUUCAAUGGCACAUUCCGUGUGGUCAGUGCUCUCCCCAUCCUGCACCAAGACUGGCUGAAUGGCAGACAGUUUACAUGCAAGGUCAGCAGCAAAUCCCUGCCAGCCCCCAUUGAGAAGACCAUCUCCAAAGCCAGAGGACAACCCAAGAGCCCACACAUAUACCUUCUGCCCCCACACCGAGAGGAGCUGUCCAUGGACAAAGUCAGUUUGACCUGCCUGGUCACUGGCUUCUACCCUGAAGACAUCCAUGUGGAGUGGGAGACCAAUGGACAUUCACACUACAAGAACACCCCAGCUGUCUUGGACACUGAUGAAACCUUCUUCCUCUACAGCAAGCUCACUGUGAACAAGAGCGUGUGGGAUUCUGGAAAGGUCUUCACCUGCUCCGUGAUGCACGAAGGCCUGCACAAUCACAUCACUCAGAAGACCAUCUCCCGGUCUCCGGGUAAAUGAGUGCUGUGCCCAGCAAGUCCUCACUAGCCUGUGGGCUCUUGAGUCCUGCAGGACCCUGUCCCCCAACACCCAUGUAAAUAAAGCACCCAGCACUGCCUGGGCUCUUGCGACA
This is a non-coding RNA of Chinchilla lanigera (long-tailed chinchilla), 1086 nucleotides long. NCBI's taxonomy places the organism in Eukaryota, Metazoa, Chordata, Mammalia, Rodentia, Chinchillidae. The record is from the annotation of a RefSeq genome assembly.